RNAcentral lists this unclassified non-coding RNA (298 nucleotides) under plant metagenome. RNAcentral's name for it is "partial contains 5.8S ribosomal RNA, internal transcribed spacer 2, and large subunit ribosomal RNA". The stretch from base 1 to 105 matches the Rfam family "5.8S ribosomal RNA", at positions 50 to 154 of the family's 154-position model. The record is from RNAcentral.
GAAAUGCGAUAAGUAAUGUGAAUUGCAGAAUUCAGUGAAUCAUCGAAUCUUUGAACGCACAUUGCGCCCGCCAGUAUUCUGGCGGGCAUGCCUGUCCGAGCGUCAUUUCAACCAUCAAGUCCCCGGGCUUGUGUUGGGGACCUGCGGCUGCCGCAGGCCCUGAAAAGCAGUGGCGGGCUCGCUGUCACACCGGGCGUAGUAGAUCUCAUCUCGCCCAGGGCGUGCUGCGGGUUCCGGCCGUUAAAAGACCCCCCGUCUUUGACCUCGGAUCAGGUAGGGAUACCCGCUGAACUUAAGC